CAAAGCAACCAAAACUUAGGAAAAAACACAAAACAAACAACUAAAAACAAGGAAAGAACAAGAAAAGCAAAAAGAAAACAAAAACCAACGGUGGGUUGCCUCCCACCAAGCGCUAGAUUUAAAGUCGCCAGCCCGACGUAGAGGAUCCUUUAACCAAAAUCGCUAUGAAACGUCAGCUGAAUUAGUCCUCGUGAAAGCACAUCAUCCUCCAGUUCAGCUGCGG
RNAcentral lists this long non-coding RNA (223 nucleotides) under Salvia miltiorrhiza (redroot sage). Its description in RNAcentral is "long non-coding RNA (SMIL_LNC013672)". Lineage: Eukaryota; Viridiplantae; Streptophyta; Magnoliopsida; Lamiales; Lamiaceae. The record is from RNAcentral.